RNAcentral lists this long non-coding RNA (1258 nucleotides) under Solanum tuberosum (potato). RNAcentral's name for it is "long non-coding RNA (STUB_LNC006495)". The record is from RNAcentral. Lineage: Eukaryota; Viridiplantae; Streptophyta; Magnoliopsida; Solanales; Solanaceae.
UUUUUUCAUGUGGUAUCUUAUCCCAUCACUCAACUAAUAUGGGACAAAAUACAAACAUUUGAGAAAGUUUGCCAAGAAAUCUCACAAGCAAAUUUGAACCAUUGUCACUUCCUUUUUCAUCACCAAGUUCCACCAUAAUUUUUUAAUUUUUUUCAAAGUUCCAAACUCGAUCUGAUUGCAUCUUUUGAGUAGUAACUUCUCCGAUUGAAGUAUCUAUCAUUUUAACAAGCCAUUAACACAAAUGAAAAGUAAUGAUAACAACAAACUAAUAAUAAAGAAUAAAAAGCAACAAUCAACUCUAAUAUGAAAUUACUUCUAAUCUCUAAUGUGGACAAGUAACGACUCAUUUUUCACUUGGGAGCUAUCUCCAACAAAACUUGAAGAAGAAAUUAAAUUGCCAUUACCGAGAGUAGGAGUUGUGAUAUUCUCAUUCACAACUUGGUCAUCUAGUUGAUCAAAAUUUAAGGAAGUUGUGCUAUUGUUGUCAGCUUGUCGUCCUCGUAGGCUUUCUAACAAUGAUUGUGCUCUUACAACUAGAAAACCCAAUAAAACUUAAAACAAGUAGUAACGUAUUUGAUCCCAGAUAGGCACUGCUCUUUAAUUUUUCAAAUGUUGGACUUAAAUUCAUGUUCCUUAUACAGAAACAAACAAUAACUAGAACAUGGUUUGAAAUGCAUAGAACAAAAAAAAGGAGAUCUAAUCCAGCAAAAUUUCACACCUCUCAAGAUUUAUAUAUUAGUAUAUAGGUUAUCGAUUUAUGGUAAUAAUUCCUCCAAUGUAUAAUCUUAUCUACAAAAUUUGUGGUGAAAAUAUAUCCAUCAAUCUUUCCAGAGGUGUGAGCAUGAUUUUUCCAACAUAAAUAAAGUAGGAUGUAUAACCUACCACUAAAAUUUCUAUUCUUUACAACAAGAAAACCCAAUAAAAACACAUCAAAUUGCAGAUUUCAAAAGCUCAUAACUUCAAUAAACAAAAACUUUAUCCAAAACCCUACAUUCAAUUUUGAGUUUAAAUACACUAGAUUCCAAAGAUUUGUUACUUGAACGAAGCAAACUUACCACAUUACACAACUAUUUGAAGCGGCUUUUGACAGAAAUCGACUUUGAAGAAGAGAGUGGAAUUUUGGGCAGAAAUCGAUUUAGAUUUUGGGGGUUGGUUUUGGGUGAAGUGAGAGAAAAGAGAGUGAGUAGAGGGAAAUAAUAGAAAAAGAGGCAAAUGAAAAAAUAAAGGGAGGGAAUGAAAUUUUACCCGCCUAUUUUAG